RNAcentral lists this ribosomal RNA (106 nucleotides) under Cladosporium cladosporioides. RNAcentral's name for it is "partial 28S ribosomal RNA". RNAcentral also lists the same sequence under 1 other name. Lineage: Eukaryota; Fungi; Ascomycota; Dothideomycetes; Cladosporiales; Cladosporiaceae. The record is from RNAcentral.
UAUUCGCUAAAGGGUGUUCGGGAGGCUACGCCGUAAAACAACCCCAUUUCUAAGGUUGACCUCGGAUCAGGUAGGGAUACCCGCUGAACUUAAGCAUAUCAAUAAC